Molecule: ribosomal RNA, 498 nt
Filed under: uncultured bacterium
Lineage: Bacteria
Description: partial 16S ribosomal RNA
Rfam family: Bacterial small subunit ribosomal RNA
Source: RNAcentral
AACGAACGCUGGCGGCAUGCCUUACACAUGCAAGUCGAACGGUAACAGGUCUUCGGAUGCUGACGAGUGGCGAACGGGUGAGUAAUACAUCGGAACGUGCCUAGUAGUGGGGGAUAACUACUCGAAAGAGUGGCUAAUACCGCAUGAGAUCUACGGAUGAAAGCAGGGGAUCGCAAGACCUUGUGCUACUAGAGCGGCCGAUGGCAGAUUAGGUAGUUGGUGGGAUAAAAGCUUACCAAGCCGACGAUCUGUAGCUGGUCUGAGAGGACGAUCAGCCACACUGGGACUGGGACACGGCCCAGACUCCUACGGGAGGCAGCAGUGGGGAAUUUUGGACAAUGGGCGAAAGCCUGAUCCAGCAAUGCCGCGUGCAGGAUGAAGGCCUUCGGGUUGUAAACUGCUUUUGUACGGAACGAAAAGCCCCGGGUUAAUACCCUGGGGUCAUGACGGUACCGUAAGAAUAAGCACCGGCUAACUACGUGCCAGCAGCCGCCGUAA